Acinonyx jubatus (cheetah) is the source of this 3100-nucleotide long non-coding RNA. RefSeq lists it as uncharacterized. The transcript has 2 exons. The record is from RefSeq and is a predicted model, not a curated record. NCBI's taxonomy places the organism in Eukaryota, Metazoa, Chordata, Mammalia, Carnivora, Felidae.
AACUUGCAGGGAGGGAGCGGUUUGAGGUUGGGCAUGAAGGGAACCCCCGGUUUCCACCGAAUCCCUUUUCCCAGGCUCACCUGCUGGCAACGGGCACAGAGUUUCUUUGCUCUCCCCCCGCCCCCCAUCCCUGCGCCCGGCACGCUCGGGGCUGUCUGGACUCCCAGGGUGUGGGAGAGCUGUGCCACUCGCCUUCACAGAUAACAUAAAUAAAGCGUCGUCCAAAGCAGACAGACACUUGGGCAAUUCUUUUGGAACAUUCCGUCCCUAUGUUCCAGUAAAUUGUUGCAUCAGUGGAGAUGAACAGCAGGAAAGAUUGUGCAGGAGUGAGUCGGGGCGGAUUAGCACAGGGCAGAAGAGCCUUGCCCGGAGGGAGACCGCACACGGCCUGUGAUCGGCCUGCACGGGGGUCCUUGCGGAGGGAUGUGCUCUCCGUGGGCAUCUGGGCUGCUCUCUGCUCCGCAGUGACCUGGGGGAGGACCCGGGGCAGCAGCUGGGAACAUUUCGGAAGCCACUUCCGGGACAACCCCACUUCUCUAAGGACUGGAAGGGAGGGAUCAGGUGUUGGGAUCCUCUGACUCUGUAAACGUCAGGAAUGAAUUUCAGUUCCUGCCUCUGUCUCCUAACUGGUGGCACAGGAGGUCCUAGGCGGUGUUGGCCGAAGGUACAGAAGGUGCGGAAGGUGAGACUGCGUGUCACCGUGGGUCGCAAAGGCAGAGGAAAUUAACACACAGACUGUGAUGUCAGUGCUACAGGUCAGGGAACCAGUUUUGGGGGCACGUGUGGCUCGGCCAAGGCCCCAAUGGUUGCCUGACGGAGAAACUCCACCUGCCCGGCCACCUGACUCUCCUCUGCCUUUCCUGUCCCUGCAACAUAGACAGCAGCUCCUGACAGGACCCGAGGGUGCUCCCUGGCACUUUCUGGCGUGUUUUGUAUUGGGGGAAAGGAGGAUGUCAUGUUGACAUGAGCUAGGAAAGAAUGUCUUCCUCGCUUCCUGGAAAGAAAUGAGGAAAGAACGUGUAAAUCUCAAGAACGCUGGGGCUCCUGACUGGCUCAGUCUGUUAAGCAUCUGACUCCUGAUUUUGGCUCAGGUCAUGAUGUCACGGUUCGUGAGUUCGAGCCCCCCAUCGGGCUCCGCGUCGGCAGUGCAGAGCCUGCUGGAGAUUCGCUGUCUCCCUCCCUCCCUCCCUCUCUCUCUCUCUCUCUCUCUCAAAAUAAAUAAACAUCUAAAAAAUAAAAUAAAUAACUCUCAAGAACUCAGAAGCCCCCUUUGGGAGCACUGAGGGCCACCGCAGGCCCACCUGGGGAGUGGGGCAGAGAGUCCGUGGGCCGCAGAGUGAGGGUGUGUUAAGACGGGGGGAGGGGGUAGUCUGGGGUCGGCUCCUCCGUGUCUGCCCCCCGGCAGCCCCUGAGCUGUUGAGCGGCCCGGGGGUGGGUCACUGUCCUCAUUCAGACCGUGUGACCCGUCUUAAUAGCACCUGUUCUGAGGGCCGGUGUGAUCUGGGCCCCUAGCCAGUGCCUGGUGCUCACUCUUUCAUUAAUGUCGGUAAUCCUACUUCGCACAUUUGCAUCGCUGCCAAUAUUCUGUGGCAGCUGAUCCCCGCUUCUGAGAAGGCCAGUCACAGACGUUCUGUGGACACCUGGAUAUCUGUCCAGUGACAGUAGCAAGACGAACGUCCGGCCCCACGGUUUAAACAGGCAUAAAAUUCGGCAAAGCCUUGGGAGGGAUCGUCGCCUUCUUCCCUGGAACCUGGGGAAGCCGUGGGGGCAGCAGACCCAUUUCCGAGAGGCACCCUCCCGGGAAGCACCUCCCCAGCCACCCGAUCCCGGCAUCUCGCUGAUGUAAACAUAAAGCGGAAGCCACGCAGGGGUGCGCAGCACGGAUGCACCUGUUCCGUGCUUUAAAACUUUCCCAGCGCCGUUCGGCGAGUACUCAGUCCUGCCCGGACACAGACGCCAUUUCGUUUCCCUGUUAGACACAGGGCGUCCGGGAUACGACGGCCACCAAGCAAAAUCCCGCUGGUUCUCUGCGUGAAGAGUCUCGCUUCGCAAGAAUUCAGAACACCUUGACCAUCACGUGGCCUUGCAGCUUCUGUGGGACUUGACCCCCUACGUGGCACCACUCUUAACCCAUCACUUAUCUGUCCAUCUCCAUCCACACUUGUCCACAGCAGUCCUGCAGGAGCUCGGAGCUGUUGAGAUGCGUUCCCAGGUGACAGUGAGGUGUGGGGUGAGGAAGGACACGCAGAAAUACUCUGACCCACAGAAAAGGGAGCGGUACUCUCUGCCUCCAGUCUAAGAAUAGUAGUUGGGCGAGUUUUACAUGCCCAUAAGUUCCUAAGUCCGUCCUUACUGUGUGGGUCUGUAUUACCCAGAAUCUAACCAAAACCAAAGUCAAUUCUAACGGUCUCUCUUGUCACAUGUAUUCAUUUAUUUUAAUGUUUCUUUCUUUUUUUUUUAAAGUUUAUUUAUUUUUGGGACAGAGAGAGACAGAGCAUGAAUGGGGGAGGGUCAGAGAGAGGAGACACAGAAUCUGAAACAGGCUCCAGGCUCUGAGCUGUCAGCACAGAGCCCGACGCGGGGCUCGAACUCACGGACCGCGAGAUCAUGACCUGAGCCGAAGUCGGCCGCUCAACCGACUGAGCCACCCAGGCGCCCCAAAUGUUUCUUUAUUUUUGAGAGGCAGAGAGAACCAGAGCGUGAGCGGGGGAGGGGCAGAGAGAGUGGGAGACACAGGAUCCGAAGCAGCUUCCAAGCUCCGAGCCGUCAGCACAGAGCCCCACGUGGGGCUCGAACCCACGAACCGUGACAUCAUGACUUGAGCCGAAGUUGGAUGCUUAUCUGUCUGAUCUCACAUUUAAAAAUGGCCAGGGGCCCUGGGGUGGCUCAGUUGCUUAAGCGUCUGACUCUAGAUUUCGGCUCAGGUCAUGAUCUCACAGUUCGCGAGGGGGAGCCCCGCCGGAGCUCUGUGCCGCCAGCAUGGAAGCCGAGUGGGAUCUCUCUCCCCUUCUCUCUGCCCCUCCCCACUCGCUCUCUCCCGCAAAAUAAAUAAAUAGAACUUGAAAAAAAUACAUAAAUCUUUCCCCAACCAUGCUUCUCA